This 523-nucleotide ribosomal RNA is filed under the name uncultured microorganism. RNAcentral describes it as "bacterial SSU rRNA". It matches the Rfam family "Bacterial small subunit ribosomal RNA", at positions 9 to 527 of the family's 1533-position model. The record is from RNAcentral.
GAGUUUGAUCGUGGCUCAGGAUGAACGCUGGCGGCGUGCCUAACACAUGCAAGUCGAACGGAGUUCUUAAGGAAUGCGGCUUCGGCCAAAUGACUUUUGAACUUAGUGGCGGACGGGUGAGUAACGCGUGAGCAACCUGCCUUUCAGAGGGGGAUAACAUUUGGAAACAGAUGCUAAUACCGCAUAAGAUUACAGUACCGCAUGAUACAGUGAUCAAAGGAGCAAUCCGCUGAAAGAUGGGCUCGCGUCCGAUUAGAUAGUUGGUGAGGUAACGGCUCGCCAAGUCGACGAUCGGUAGCCGGACUGAGAGGUUGAACGGCCACAUUGGGACUGAGACACGGCCCAGACUCCUACGGGAGGCAGCAGUGGGGAAUAUUGCACAAUGGGCGAAAGCCUGAUGCAGCAACGCCGCGUGAGGGAAGACGGUUUUCGGAUUGUAAACCUCUGUUUUCGGUGAGAACAAAUGACGGUAACCGAGUAGGAAGCCACGGCUAACUACGUGCCAGCCGCCGCCGUAAUACCG